RNAcentral lists this ribosomal RNA (437 nucleotides) under uncultured bacterium. RNAcentral describes it as "partial 16S ribosomal RNA". It matches the Rfam family "Bacterial small subunit ribosomal RNA", at positions 28 to 507 of the family's 1533-position model. The record is from RNAcentral.
GAUGAACGCUGGCGGCAUGCCUAACACAUGCAAGUCGGGCGGGCAGACGUGGUUCUUGUGGCGGUCGCGUGAGCAACGCGCAAGAACCUGCCCUGGGGAGGAGCACAACAGAUGGAAACGACUGCUAAUACCCCGCGGACCGAGGAGCAAAAGGUGUAAUCCGCCGGAGGGGUGGCUAGCGUCUGAUGGGCUAGUUGGUGCGGCAAUAGCUUACCAAGGCGAGGGUCAGUAGAUGUUCCGAGAGGAUGAUCGACCACACUGGGACGGAGACACGCAGCAGGCAACCUCGCGAAACGGCCGUAGGCAUUAUGCCGCAACGGGGGGAGAGCUAAGAAGGCAAUGCGACGUGAAAGUAGAGUGCCCAGGGAUGAUGAACUGCUUAAGCAGGAAAACACGCAAUGACGGUAUCUGAGGAGAAAGCAUCGGCUAACUCCGUG